AAUGGGAGAGAGAUGAUGAGCGUUUUUUUUUAUGUAUUUGUGUUUUUGUUUAUUUAGUAAAAUUUUUAAUUUGAAGGUAUGUUUUGUUUAACGAUAAUCCGGUGAAGCUCCGACACCAGUAAAUUUAAUGGUUAUUUUCGGUUGCCAGUAAUUUAUUCGGUAACGGGUUCAAAUUGGUUAUGUAAGUUUUUCCAUUGGAUGUGAUAGGAUGAUAAUGGGUUCAAAUUGGUUAUGCAACCAAUGGGUGGAUUAUUUGAGAUUCCCUAGGUCAACGGGAUGUUUGAAGGUUUCAAUGAAUCCUAAAUUGAACCGCAC
Molecule: long non-coding RNA, 315 nt
Filed under: Gossypium barbadense (sea-island cotton)
Lineage: Eukaryota; Viridiplantae; Streptophyta; Magnoliopsida; Malvales; Malvaceae
Description: long non-coding RNA (GBAR_LNC014468)
Source: RNAcentral